Molecule: non-coding RNA, 22 nt
Filed under: Arabidopsis thaliana (thale cress)
Lineage: Eukaryota; Viridiplantae; Streptophyta; Magnoliopsida; Brassicales; Brassicaceae
Source: RNAcentral
GCUUUGGCCGAGUGGUUAAGGC